Molecule: long non-coding RNA, 2705 nt
Organism: Passer domesticus (house sparrow)
Lineage: Eukaryota; Metazoa; Chordata; Aves; Passeriformes; Passeridae
Exons: 8
Source: RefSeq, a predicted model, not a curated record
CCCCCACUCCCAGAGAGAGUGAUAGAAGCUGGCUUGAAAUUUGAUAUCUUGUGCUGCUGGCACCAUAGCCAAGAGAAGAAGGCGGCGGGAGGGGAGGGGGUUGCACAGCUGCGGGCAGACCUCGGCUGGAGUUUUAACCUCUUUGGUGCUGGGACAGUGGAUGCUGUAAACACCAAUCCUCUCCAGCUGAGAGUUUAGAGGGGACAGAAGAUGGGCAGAUGAGAAGAAGACUUGAGUGAGUGAAGAAAUACCAGCAAAUGAGAAGCGCCCUAGAUGGAGGACAUGAUUUGGAGUGGCCUUUUGGCUGGACUUUUGUCUUACAUGGCCACAGGAUAGAACCAAAUCUUCCUGUAAUGUAGAGACUGCACCUUGGGGGAGGCGGUUGGCUGGAAGCCAAGAGUGACAAAGCUUGUGAGAAGUAGAGGGAACAGAGACUGAUGGGGAGGGUGUGGUGGAGCCCUCUGCCUUCAGCAGAGAAGGAUCUCUGUUCAUGAGGCCCCUCGGCCCCGGGGGGUGAAAUAUAGGACAGGUGUCCCAAAUGAGCCUGAAAUUUGAAGGAAGCCAUGGGAUUUAAUGAACAGCAUGAAUAAAUAGCAAAUAGGAAACUCAGAAAAACAUGUACGCAGUAUGGGCUGACGAAGAAGAUACCAAAUAUGCAAAUCAUCAUAGCAGAAGAAAACAUGAUGGGCUUUCUUUAUCGGAAAUUUUAUACAGUGAUGAAUAGUAAAUAACCAGAACCUGAUUUUAUCCAAAGCUUGUCAGGAAAGCAGUAUCUUAUUUCCAACUUUUAUCUGGUGGCACUUAUGAAAAUAGAAAUUUUAAGUUUAUGGCUCAGCAAACCUGGAGGGUUCAAAGCAAUCUCACUGAUCCUUUCUACUUAUUUGUACUGCAGAGAAAUCAAGGCUGACCACUGAUCCAUACUGAUCUGCAAUCCAUGCUCAGUGGUUAUUUGUAAAGAGAAGAUAAACUAGCUUCAAGUUCUGUUGCUGUACUUGAAUGAGAAACCAUCCCAGUGUGAGGAGAGCUGAAGAGGAUGGUUAUACUUAUGCAUGUUCUGAAACUUGUGUAGUAUGGACUGCCCAGAAAAGGAUCCAAAGACACCAUAAUCUCUGAGAUGCAAAACAGAGUCUGACCCUCAGUUUGGAACCCUCUCCAAGCACAGCGCUCUCUCAAUGGCAACAUUUCAACAGUUUUAAAUGGGAAGAGGAUUUGACUCUUGCAGAUGGAACAUUGUGUGUCUGAAACUUUGUCUUUUAGGUUCAUCUUUCAAUGCACGUUCAGUAAUAAUAGUUAACUACUCUAGUAAUUUGUUAUUUUACUAAGCCCAUGCUGAUUUCUUAUAGAGAAGCUAUCUAGGAAAUGAAAAUUUUCCCUACUGACAUGACCAGUAAUGCAUAGUUGAAAAGAAGGACUGAAAUGAACUGUGGAAUUUAAUAAAAGCAUGAGGUUACACAGUAUUAUACGGAAAAAAAAUAUAUGCUAUGUUUGACUAUACUGCAGCAACUAAGGCUGAAAUAUUCUUCAGUGAAGUAAAAGAGGCUGACAUAAGGGGAUUUCAAAGACCAAAUUCAGUAAAAUCCAUUAAAACCCUCUCAAAACUGAUGGAAAACUGCAAGGAAUGUUUCUGUGAUAAUGGUGACCUUUAACUUCACUGCUUUCAAGAAAUGUCCUUAUCCCAUUAGUGACUUUGCUGGUGUAAAGCAAGAUUUAGACACAUUCACUUGUGUGGGAAAAUCUGACAUAUACAGAGCAUAAUAGCUUUUACCCAGGCAAAUAUGUUGCGUUCAAAAGGGGAAAUUAGGAAUGUUUGCACAGUUAAGAAACUGCUAGACAUGUAUGAAGACUGAGCUGAUAGGUCACAGUGUUUAAUUCUUUCUACACUAGAAUUACUCUGGAAAUAGUUUCUCAAUUCACUUUCAAGUCAUCAGACACACACACAUGCAACAUCUGUAUUUAAUUUUUCAUUUAUGCUUAUCCAAUAAGCAAUAGCAAGUAGAGUCAUCAUUAAAUUAGAAAUAGUCUUAUUCAUUCUCAUUUAUUCUUCCUAAACCACACAUUCUGGUAGAACAGCAUAAUAUCUUCAUAAUCUAAAAAACAAUUCAUCCUUUCAGGAAAAUGGACUAACACUCUGUUGGAAUUUAUGUAUCUGGCCAUUACCUACUUUCACCUUUACUUUGCCUUUCUCUGAAUUUUCAACACUACUAGUUAAAAUAGUGCUUAAACUUACAUGAGAUUUUUUUCAGUGGUGUGCUGACUCACUGUGUUUACUAUUGUACCAAAUUCAGAAAGAUGCUGACUUAUAUUGGUUCUGAAAAUUUUUUCAUUUUGUUGCCUCCUUAAAUGGCAAUCUAUACCUAAGUAAUUAAAAAAGUUAUUAAAAUUAGGAUUCUAGGAAUAAUAAAAAUUUAGUGUAUUGGGAAAUCCAUGUGCUUACUUGUUAGCAGUGAAAGGAAAAAAAGAAAUUAUUUAAAAAAUUCCAACAGUUACAUGCCAGUUAAUACAACAAAGUAAUAUUUAUACCUGAAUUUGUUUGCAUUUUUCAUCUGUUAAAACUCUGAUGUUUUAAUCUAACAAUGUAGUUAAAUUAACUGUUUAACAUAACAAAUAAAAGUGUUUUGGUUUUCAUUGCAAGUUUUAUAUUUUAUUGCUAUUAUUUGUAUAUGAACACACCCUGAAUAUCUUUUUCAUCUGUACCUGUUUCUAUU